Molecule: ribosomal RNA, 467 nt
Filed under: uncultured bacterium
Lineage: Bacteria
Description: partial 16S ribosomal RNA
Rfam family: Bacterial small subunit ribosomal RNA
Source: RNAcentral
GACGAACGCUGGCGGCGUGCUUAACACAUGCAAGUCGAACGGAAAGGCCCUGCUUUUGUGGGGUGCUCGAGUGGCGAACGGGUGAGUAACACGUGAGUAACCUGCCCUUGACUUUGGGAUAACUUCAGGAAACUGGGGCUAAUACCGGAUAGGAGCUCCUGCUGCAUGGUGGGGGUUGGAAAGUUUCGGCGGUUGGGGAUGGACUCGCGGCUUAUCGGCUUGUUGGUGGGGUAGUGGCUUACCAAGGCUUUGACGGGUAGCCGGCCUGAGAGGGUGACCGGCCACAUUGGGACUGAGAUACGGCCCAGACUCCUACGGGAGGCAGCAGUGGGGAAUAUUGCACAAUGGGCGGAAGCUUGAUGCAGCAACGCCGCGUGCGGGAUGACGGCCUUCGGGUUGUAAACCGCUUUCGCCUGUGACGAAGCGUGAGUGACGGUAAUGGGUAAAGAAGCACCGGCUAACUACGU